Molecule: ribosomal RNA, 250 nt
Filed under: uncultured bacterium
Lineage: Bacteria
Description: partial 16S ribosomal RNA
Rfam family: Bacterial small subunit ribosomal RNA
Source: RNAcentral
UAGAUACCCUGGUAGUCCACGCCGUAAACGUUGGGCACUAGGUGUGGGUCUCAACCAACGAGAUCCGCGCCGUCGCUAACGCAUUAAGUGCCCCGCCUGGGGAGUACGGUCGCAAGACUAAAACUCAAAGGAAUUGACGGGGGCCCGCACAAGCAGCGGAGCGUGUUGCUUAAUUCGAUGUUACGCGAAGAACCUUACCUGGGUUUGACAUGUAGGGAAAAGCUCUGGAGACAGGGUGUCCUAACGGGCC